UUUCCAGACUCCUACGGGAGGCAGCAGUGGGGAAUAUUGGGCAAUGGGCGCAAGCCUGACCCAGCAAUGCCGCGUGAAGGAAGAAGGCUUUCGGGUUGUAAACUUCUUUGACAGGGAAGAGCAGAAGACGGUACCUCUUGAAUAAGCCACGGCUAACUACGUGCCAGCAGCCGCGGUGAUACGUAGGUGGCAAGCGUUGUCCGGAUUUACUGGGUGUGAAGGGAGCGCAGACGGCAGUGCAAGUCUGGAGUGAAAGCCCGGGGCCCAACCCCGGAACUGCUCUGGAAACUGUGCGGCUAGAGUACUGGAGGGGCAGGCGGAAUUCCUAGUGUAGCGGUGAAAUGCGUAGAUAUUAGGAGGAACACCAGUGGCGAAGGCGGCCUGCUGGACAGUAACUGACGUUGAGGCUCGAAAGCGUGGGGAGCAAACAGGAUUAGAUACCCCUGUA
This 448-nucleotide ribosomal RNA is filed under the name uncultured bacterium. RNAcentral describes it as "bacterial SSU rRNA". It matches the Rfam family "Bacterial small subunit ribosomal RNA", at positions 328 to 792 of the family's 1533-position model. The record is from RNAcentral.